This is a long non-coding RNA of Thalassophryne amazonica, 96 nucleotides long. RefSeq lists it as uncharacterized. NCBI's taxonomy places the organism in Eukaryota, Metazoa, Chordata, Actinopteri, Batrachoidiformes, Batrachoididae. The transcript has 3 exons. The record is from RefSeq and is a predicted model, not a curated record.
AUUUCUGCUGAUACCAACAGUGCAUCCGGAAAAGUAUAUACACUGCUUCACUUCUUACACGUUUUAUGUUACAGCCUUAUUCCAAAAUGGAGUAAA